CCAAGUGUAGUAUAGUGGUUAGAGUGUUGGACUAGGACCUGAGAGACCAGGGUUCAAAUCCCCACUUGGG
This is a non-coding RNA of Podarcis lilfordi (Lilford's wall lizard), 70 nucleotides long. The record is from the annotation of a GenBank genome assembly. Lineage: Eukaryota; Metazoa; Chordata; Lepidosauria; Squamata; Lacertidae.